Molecule: transfer RNA, 80 nt
Filed under: Bos taurus (domestic cattle)
Lineage: Eukaryota; Metazoa; Chordata; Mammalia; Artiodactyla; Bovidae
Also listed under: 2 other names
Rfam family: tRNA
About the family: Transfer RNA (tRNA) molecules are approximately 80 nucleotides in length. Their secondary structure includes four short double-helical elements and three loops (D, anti-codon, and T loops).
Source: Rfam by way of RNAcentral
UCCUGAUGGUUCAGUGGUUAACAAUCUGCCUGCCAGUGCAGGAAAUGCAGAAGAUGUGGGUUCAAUCCCCGCAUCAGGAA